ACGGGAGGCAGCAGUGGGGGAUAUUGCACAAUGGGGGAAACCCUGAUGCAGCGACGCCGCGUGAGUGAUGAAGUAUUUCGGUAUGUAAAGCUCUAUCAGCAGGAAAGAUAAUGACGGUACCUGACUAAGAAGCACCGGCUAAAUACGUGCCAGCAGCCGCGGUAAUACGUAUGGUGCAAGCGUUAUCCGGAUUUACUGGGUGUAAAGGGAGCGCAGACGGCAUGGCAAGCCAGAUGUGAAAGGCAGGGGCUCAACUCCUGGACUGCAUUUGGAACUGUCAAGCUAGAGUGCAGGAGAGGAAAGCGGAAUUCCUAGUGUAGCGGUGAAAUGCGUAGAUAUUAGGAGGAACACCAGUGGCGAAGGCGGCUUUCUGGACUGUAACUGACACUGAGGCACGAAAGCGUGGGGAGCAAACAGGAUUAGAUACCCUGGUA
RNAcentral lists this ribosomal RNA (434 nucleotides) under uncultured Lachnospiraceae bacterium. RNAcentral describes it as "partial 16S ribosomal RNA". It matches the Rfam family "Bacterial small subunit ribosomal RNA", at positions 341 to 792 of the family's 1533-position model. The record is from RNAcentral. Lineage: Bacteria; Bacillati; Bacillota; Clostridia; Lachnospirales; Lachnospiraceae.